This 421-nucleotide ribosomal RNA is filed under the name uncultured bacterium. RNAcentral describes it as "partial 16S ribosomal RNA". It matches the Rfam family "Bacterial small subunit ribosomal RNA", at positions 360 to 773 of the family's 1533-position model. The record is from RNAcentral.
AAUUUUCCGCAAUGGGCGCAAGCCUGACGGAGCGACGCCGCGUGAGGGAUGACAGCUUUCGGGUUGUAAACCUCUUUUAUUAAGGAAAAAGAUCUAUAUGCUAAUAACAUGUAGAUUUGAUGGUACUUAUUGAAUAAGCCCCGGCUAACUACGUGCCAGCAGCCGCGGUAAUACGUAGGGGGCGAGCGUUGUCCAGAGUUACUGGGCGUAAAGAGCGUGUAGGCGGUUGAAAAAGUCAGGUGUGAAAUUCUUCGGCUCCCCCGAGGGACUGCGCUUGAAACAUUUCGACUGGAGUUUGGGAGGGGCGAUCGGAAUUCCUGGUGUAACGGUGAAAUGUGUAGAUAUCAGGAGGAACACCCGUGGAGAAGGCGGGUUGAUGGACCAAAACUGACGCUGAGACGCGAAAGCGUGGGUAGCAAAC